Molecule: ribosomal RNA, 483 nt
Filed under: uncultured bacterium
Lineage: Bacteria
Description: partial 16S ribosomal RNA
Rfam family: Bacterial small subunit ribosomal RNA
Source: RNAcentral
AUUGAACGCUGGCGGCAGGCCUAACACAUGCAAGUCGAGCGGAUGAAGGGAGCUUGCUCCUGGAUUCAGCGGCGGACGGGUGAGUAAUGCCUAGGAAUCUGCCUGGUAGUGGGGGAUAACGUCCGGAAACGGGCGCUAAUACCGCAUACGUCCUGAGGGAGAAAGUGGGGGAUCUUCGGACCUCACGCUAUCAGAUGAGCCUAGGUCGGAUUAGCUAGUUGGUGGGGUAAAGGCCUACCAAGGCGACGAUCCGUAACUGGUCUGAGAGGAUGAUCAGUCACACUGAAAUUGAGACACGGUCCAGACUCCUACGGGAGGCAGCGGUGGGGAAUAUUGGACAUUGGGCGAAAGCCUGAUCAGCCAUGCCGCGUGUGUGAAGAAGGUCUUCGGAUUGUAAAGCACUUUAAGUUGGGAGGAAGGGCAGUAAGUUAAUACCUUGCUGUUUUGACGUUACCAACAGAAUAAGCACCGGCUAACUUCGUG